RNAcentral lists this ribosomal RNA (497 nucleotides) under uncultured bacterium. RNAcentral's name for it is "partial 16S ribosomal RNA". It matches the Rfam family "Bacterial small subunit ribosomal RNA", at positions 28 to 507 of the family's 1533-position model. The record is from RNAcentral.
GAUGAACGCUGGCGGCGUGCCUAAUACAUGCAAGUCGAGCGAACAGACGAGGAGCUUGCUCCUCUGACGUUAGCGGCGGACGGGUGAGUAACACGUGGAUAACCUACCUAUAGGACUGGGAUAACUUCGGGAAACCGGAGCUAAUACCGGAUAAUAUGUUGAACCGCAUGGUUCAAUAGUGAAAGACGGUUUUGCUGUCACUUAUAGAUGGAUCCGCGCCGCAUUAGCUAGUUGGUAAGGUAACGGCUUACCAAGGCAACGAUGCGUAGCCGACCUGAGAGGGUGAUCGGCCACACUGGAACUGAGACACGGUCCAGACUCCUACGGGAGGCAGCAGUAGGGAAUCUUCCGCAAUGGGCGAAAGCCUGACGGAGCAACGCCGCGUGAGUGAUGAAGGUCUUCGGAUCGUAAAACUCUGUUAUUAGGGAAGAACAAAUGUGUAAGUAACUAUGCACGUCUUGACGGUACCUAAUCAGAAAGCCACGGCUAACUACGUG